RNAcentral lists this ribosomal RNA (429 nucleotides) under Pseudomonadota bacterium. RNAcentral describes it as "Proteobacteria bacterium partial 16S ribosomal RNA". It matches the Rfam family "Bacterial small subunit ribosomal RNA", at positions 355 to 776 of the family's 1533-position model. The record is from RNAcentral. Lineage: Bacteria; Pseudomonadati; Pseudomonadota.
UGGGGAAUAUUGGACAAUGGGCGAAAGCCUGAUCCAGCCAUGCCGCGUGUGUGAAGAAGGUCUUCGGAUUGUAAAGCACUUUAAGUUGGGAGGAAGGGCAGUAAGCGAAUACCUUGCUGUUUUGACGUUACCGACAGAAUAAGCACCGGCUAACUCUGUGCCAGCAGCCGCGGUAAUACAGAGGGUGCAAGCGUUAAUCGGAAUUACUGGGCGUAAAGCGCGCGUAGGUGGUUCGUUAAGUUGAAUGUGAAAGCCCCGGGCUCAACCUGGGAACUGCAUCCAAAACUGGCGAGCUAGAGUAGGGCAGAGGGUGGUGGAAUUUCCUGUGUAGCGGUGAAAUGCGUAGAUAUAGGAAGGAACACCAGUGGCGAAGGCGACCACCUGGGCUCAUACUGACACUGAGGUGCGAACGCGUGGGGAGCAAACAGG